This 475-nucleotide ribosomal RNA is filed under the name Scleromystax barbatus (banded corydoras). RNAcentral describes it as "partial 16S ribosomal RNA". It matches the Rfam family "Bacterial large subunit ribosomal RNA", at positions 1922 to 2559 of the family's 2925-position model. The record is from RNAcentral. Lineage: Eukaryota; Metazoa; Chordata; Actinopteri; Siluriformes; Callichthyidae.
GUUAAACGGCCGCGGUAUUUUGACCGUGCAAAGGUAGCGCAAUCACUUGUCUUUUAAAUGAAGACCUGUAUGAAUGGUGGAACGAGGGCCUAACUGUCUCCCCUUUCAAGUCAAUGAAAUUGAUCUAUCCGUGCAGAAGCGGGUAUAUAGCUACAAGACGAGAAGACCCUUUGGAGCUUAAGAUUAAAGAUCAACUAUGUCAAAUAUUUAUUAAUAGAACUAAAUAGUAACUGAUCACAAUCUUCGGUUGGGGCGACCACGGAAUAAAAAUAAACUUCCACAUGGACUGAGGACUAACCUUAAAACCAAGAAAGACAUUUCUAAGCCACAGAAUUUCUGACCACACAGAUCCGGCAAACUGCCGAUCAAUGGACCAAGUUACCCUAGGGAUAACAGCGCAAUCCCCUUUCAGAGUUCCUAUCGACAAGGGGGUUUACGACCUCGAUGUUGGAUCAGGACAUCCUAAUGGUGCAGC